AAGUCGUAACAAGGUAUCCGUAGGUGAACCUGCGGAUGGAUCAUUAACAAAGAUCUACCUCUACGUACUGUGAACUGUAACUUUUACCUUUGGCGCCGUGUUUCCCUAAGCUCUUUGAGUUAAGGGCCAUGGUGCCAACGGACAUACACGUAUACCCUUAGACUAAAGUAGACCUAGAGAACUAAAACAACUUUUAGCAAUGGAUCUCUUGGCUCUC
This 217-nucleotide unclassified non-coding RNA is filed under the name fungal sp. Its description in RNAcentral is "partial internal transcribed spacer region". The stretch from base 1 to 46 matches the Rfam family "Eukaryotic small subunit ribosomal RNA", at positions 1786 to 1831 of the family's 1831-position model. The record is from RNAcentral. Lineage: Eukaryota; Fungi.